GCACUGGGGAUUCAAUGGUAGAAUUCUCGCCUUCCAUGCAGGAGACCUGGGUUUGAUUCCCAGCCAAUACA
This 71-nucleotide transfer RNA is filed under the name Loxodonta africana (African savanna elephant). It matches the Rfam family "tRNA". Rfam says of the family: Transfer RNA (tRNA) molecules are approximately 80 nucleotides in length. Their secondary structure includes four short double-helical elements and three loops (D, anti-codon, and T loops). The record is from Rfam by way of RNAcentral. Lineage: Eukaryota; Metazoa; Chordata; Mammalia; Proboscidea; Elephantidae.